UACGUAGGUGGCAAGCGUUAUCCGGAUUUACUGGGUGUAAAGGGCGUGUAGGCGGGAGUGCAAGUCAGAUGUGAAAACUAUGGGCUCAACCCAUAGCCUGCAUUUGAAACUGUACUUCUUGAGUGCUGGAGAGGCAAUCGGAAUUCCGUGUGUAGCGGUGAAAUGCGUAGAUAUACGGAGGAACACCAGUGGCGAAGGCGGCCACCUGGACCGGUAUUGACGCUGAGGCGCGAAAGCGUGGGGAGCAAACAGG
Molecule: ribosomal RNA, 253 nt
Filed under: uncultured Oscillospira sp.
Lineage: Bacteria; Bacillati; Bacillota; Clostridia; Eubacteriales; Oscillospiraceae
Description: partial 16S ribosomal RNA
Rfam family: Bacterial small subunit ribosomal RNA
Source: RNAcentral